GCGCUCGUAGCUCAGCCGGAUAGAGCGGCGGUUUCCUAAACCGCAGGUCGGAGGUUCGAGCCCUCCCGGGCGCG
Molecule: transfer RNA, 74 nt
Filed under: Planctomycetota bacterium
Lineage: Bacteria; Pseudomonadati; Planctomycetota
Description: Planctomycetes bacterium tRNA-Arg
Rfam family: tRNA
About the family: Transfer RNA (tRNA) molecules are approximately 80 nucleotides in length.
Source: RNAcentral